RNAcentral lists this ribosomal RNA (379 nucleotides) under uncultured cyanobacterium. Its description in RNAcentral is "bacterial SSU rRNA". It matches the Rfam family "Bacterial small subunit ribosomal RNA", at positions 376 to 770 of the family's 1533-position model. Lineage: Bacteria; Bacillati; Cyanobacteriota. The record is from RNAcentral.
CGAAAGCCUGACGGAGCAACGCCGCGUGGGGGAAGAAGGUUCUUGGAUUGUAGACCCCUUUUCUCAGGGAAGAAGUUCUGACGGUACCUGAGGAAUCAGCCUCGGCUAACUCCGUGCCAGCAGCCGCGGUAAUACGGAGGAGGCAAGCGUUAUCCGGAAUUAUUGGGCGUAAAGCGUCCGCAGGGGGCUCAUCAAGUCUGCUGUCAAAGGUCGGAGCUCAACUCCGGGUCGGCAGUGGAAACUGGAUAGCUAGAGGUCGGUAGGGGCAAAGGGAAUUCCCAGUGUAGCGGUGAAAUGCGUAGAUAUUGGGAAGAACACCGGUGGCGAAAGCGCUUUGCUGGACCGAACCUGACGCUGAGGGACGAAAGCUAGGGGAGCG